AUUUUUAUAGUGUAUAAACACAUAACAUUUUCGUUGUUAAAAAGCCAAAAAGCUAAAAAUA
RNAcentral lists this transfer RNA (61 nucleotides) under Otobius lagophilus. Its description in RNAcentral is "tRNA-Glu". The record is from RNAcentral. Lineage: Eukaryota; Metazoa; Arthropoda; Arachnida; Ixodida; Argasidae.